AGAGUUUGAUCAUGGCUCAGAUUGAACGCUGGCGGAAUGCUUUACACAUGCAAGUCGAACGGCAGCACGGGGCAACCUGGUGGCGAGUGGCGAACGGGUGAGUAAUAUAUCGGAACGUGCCCAAUCGUGGGGGAUAACGUAGCGAAAGUUACGCUAAUACCGCAUACGAUCUACGGAUGAAAGCGGGGGAUCGCAAGACCUCGCGCGAAUGGAGCGGCCGAUAUCAGAUUAGGUAGUUGGUGGGGUAAAGGCUCACCAAGCCAACGAUCUGUAGCUGGUCUGAGAGGACGACCAGCCACACUGGAACUGAGACACGGUCCAGACUCCUACGGGAGGCAGCAGUGGGGAAUUUUGGACAAUGGGCGCAAGCCUGAUCCAGCAAUGCCGCGUGCAGGAUGAAGGCCUUCGGGUUGUAAACUGCUUUUGUACGGAACGAAACGGCCUGCCUUAAUACGGUGGGCUAAUGACGGUACCGUAAGAAUAAGCACCGGCUAACUACGUG
RNAcentral lists this ribosomal RNA (502 nucleotides) under uncultured bacterium. RNAcentral describes it as "bacterial SSU rRNA". It matches the Rfam family "Bacterial small subunit ribosomal RNA", at positions 8 to 507 of the family's 1533-position model. The record is from RNAcentral.